CCACCACCAAUCUCGAUACUGUCACAAAUCCUACCUCUCCUUCACCGCCUACUCCUUCCACAACACCUCUCCACGGGACUGUUGAUGUUGAAGCUUCUGGGCCUAUUUCAGUAGUCUACAGCCGAAGGACUUGUUCCAG
Cajanus cajan (pigeon pea) is the source of this 139-nucleotide non-coding RNA. NCBI's taxonomy places the organism in Eukaryota, Viridiplantae, Streptophyta, Magnoliopsida, Fabales, Fabaceae. The record is from RefSeq and is a predicted model, not a curated record.